CAUAUACUCCCUCCGUCCCAAAAUUCUUGUUUUAGAUUUGUCUACAUAAGGAUAUACCUAUUAUGUGUUAGAUACAUCUGUAUGUAGACAAAUUUAAGACAAGAAUUUCGGGACGGAGGGAGUAUAUC
This is a non-coding RNA of Triticum aestivum (bread wheat), 128 nucleotides long. The record is from Rfam. NCBI's taxonomy places the organism in Eukaryota, Viridiplantae, Streptophyta, Magnoliopsida, Poales, Poaceae.